Molecule: ribosomal RNA, 491 nt
Filed under: uncultured bacterium
Lineage: Bacteria
Description: partial 16S ribosomal RNA
Rfam family: Bacterial small subunit ribosomal RNA
Source: RNAcentral
GUGAGCGCUGGCGGUAGGCCUAACACAUGCACGUCGAACGGCAGCACCGUAAGAGCUUGCUCUUACGGGUGGCGAGUGGCGGACGGGUGAGGAAUACAUCGGAAUCUACUUUUUCGUGGGGGAUAACGUAGGGAAACUUACGCUAAUACCGCAUACGACCUACGGGUGAAAGCAGGGGAUCUUCGGACCUUGCGCGAUUGAAUGAGCCGAUGUCGGAUUAGCUAGUUGGCGGGGUAAAGGCCCACCAAGGCGACGAUCCGUAGCUGGUCUGAGAGGAUGAUCAGCCACACUGGAACUGAGACACGGUCCAGACUCCUACGGGAGGCAGCAGUGGGGAAUAUUGGACAAUGGGCGCAAGCCUGAUCCAGCCAUACCGCGUGGGUGAAGAAGGCCUUCGGGUUGUAAAGCCCUUUUGUUGGGAAAGAAAAGCAGCAGGUUAAUACCCCGCUGUUCUGACGGUACCCAAAGAAUAAGCACCGGCUAACUUCGUG